Molecule: ribosomal RNA, 253 nt
Filed under: uncultured bacterium
Lineage: Bacteria
Description: partial 16S ribosomal RNA
Rfam family: Bacterial small subunit ribosomal RNA
Source: RNAcentral
UACGAAGGGGGCUAGCGUUGCUCGGAAUCACUGGGCGUAAAGCGCACGUAGGCGGAUUGUUAAGUCAGGGGUGAAAGCCCAGAGCUUAACUCUGGAAUUGCCUUUGAGACUGAGAGGCUUGAGUACGGGAGAGGUGAGUGGAAUUCCCAGUGUAGAGGUGAAAUUCGUAGAUAUUGGGAAGAACACCGGUGGCGAAGGCGGCUCACUGGCCCGUAACUGACGCUCAUGCACGACAGCGUGGGGAUCAAACAGG